GUCAGAGACGCUCAUAGCAACCUAUCAAUCGCAAUAUUGACCAAUCGCCUCACUCUGUGUAUCCAUCACCCUCUGACUUGGCUGGCAAGAUCACACAAUCCAUCUACAAAAGUUGUCCGACUCCAGCUGCACCUCGCUACAUCAACAACAAGACCAGCAGGAGCGAAGAAGAAGAAGAAGACAUCCGGCCUCAAACAGCCUCCAUGCUGCGCUGCUCGAUGUCAGCCACCGGCUCGGAUUGGGAGGGAGAUUAGUUGUAGUGGGGAGCGGUUGCUGGAAGCUUUUCUUCCAGACAAAAAGGCUCAGGCUUUCAGAGUCUCUGAUGAAGACAGAUUGUGAAAAGAGUCACCUCCAACAUGUUCAUUCUCUUCAGAGGGGACCGGCCUUUCUGUAUUAUUCUUUAUUUUAAACAACAGAGAUAUUAUCAAAAAUGUGACGGUGCUCAGAAGCACCUCUUUCCCUGCAUGUGGACGUUUGCUGUUAAAACCAAAAACACCUCAAACCACAAAUCAACGCGCCCAUUUUUGCCUCCCAGAUGUCAUCUGCUUGUAGUUGUGUUGCUGGAAGCAGCUAGAAGUUAGAGCCAUGCCCAGACAUUUCUUCUGCGUUGAGUUUUAGUGAUACGUCUAGUCCAGGCGUGUCUAAUUUUAGUUUCAUGGGCCACAUAACCCUAAUUAGAGCCCAAGUGGGCCAGACCUGUAAACCACUCCAGAAAGUUUAUCUGCCACAGAGUUUCUUGUCAGCUUGAUGUUGGCAAACACGAGGUGCUUCUGCUACGACAGCGUCGGAGGUCAUUGUAGGAAGAAAAAAAAAAAUGUUACGAGAGAGAGGGGUAAUAGAGAAAAAACUCAGAACCUCUAAAAUUGAAGUUGUAAAUUUAUGGAAAAAGAGCUUUGGUAUUCUCUGAGAUUUAAGUGCUAAAUUUAGAAUUGGAAAGCAAUUUUUUUUUGUACUUUACAAAGUCAUCCAGUGGGCCUGAUUGGACCCUUAGGUAGGCCCGUUCUGGCCCAUGGGCCGUAGGCUUGACACCCCAGGUCUAUUCGAGAACGGUCUACUCUGAAUAAAAUAAAAAGACAUAGAGUUGCUGUUGAAAGCUGCAGAAAAAGCUAGCAAACACAGUGAAGAUUUCUGUAUACGUACAGUAUAUAUCGGAGUACUUUUUCCGAGGUCAAAACUGAAUUCUAGGUCUGGCGUGCUGUCGUUGAAACGUAGGUUAACUAUGUUGCGGUCUCAGAAACGUCUUGUUAGUAAUUCACUGUAAAUGUGCCUAAAGUUGGGUGAGGGAUCCUUAAGAGUCAGUAUUCACGUUUGUAAAUCUCCUCCACAUUUUUAUGUCUAUACAAAUUUUGUCACUAGAGAGUGUCUUACAUUCCUCUCCUGAAGGGGGAGAUCUCUGUGCACUUCCCUGAAAUCUGACACUCCUCUCUAUCCCUGACCGACACACCUGUAAACUGCCUUUAAAUCCUUAAUUCACCCAAGAAAAGAGCAGAUACACAGCAUCUUGGCUCAGGCUUUUAUCUUCAUAUUCAUCUGCUAAUAGGCUAAACUACAGUGGCUAGCCUUGAUAGACGGCUUCAUCUGAAUGCUGUGUCCCCCUCGGAUGCAUUUAGUAAGAAGAGUCUAACAUGAAUCUAUCUACAAAUGCUUUAAAAAA
Long non-coding RNA from Etheostoma spectabile (orangethroat darter), 1654 nucleotides. RefSeq lists it as uncharacterized. The record is from RefSeq and is a predicted model, not a curated record. NCBI's taxonomy places the organism in Eukaryota, Metazoa, Chordata, Actinopteri, Perciformes, Percidae. The transcript has 2 exons.